Molecule: long non-coding RNA, 292 nt
Filed under: Prunus persica (peach)
Lineage: Eukaryota; Viridiplantae; Streptophyta; Magnoliopsida; Rosales; Rosaceae
Description: long non-coding RNA (PPER_LNC006660)
Source: RNAcentral
AGAAACCUGGCCGCGUUGAAUUUUAUGACUGGAACUUUUGCUGUUAUGUUUUAUAUAUGGUCUGAGACUCUACUGGACGGAAGGAGGAUCGCGAGAUUGAGUGAAGUGUUACUUGAAUCAAUAUGCCUUUUUAAUAGGAGGUAAAUUCUUUUAUAUUUGUUUGAUUAGUGAUCAAUACUAUGGCUUAUAUAAUAAUUAGUACUUUUUAAAUUGCUACAGGAAUAACGUUGAUACUGAGCCUGAGAAUUGGUACCAGAAUGACAACCGAGUUGUGAGAGAUAGUAUAAGGUUU